Molecule: ribosomal RNA, 292 nt
Filed under: uncultured microorganism
Description: partial 16S ribosomal RNA
Rfam family: Bacterial small subunit ribosomal RNA
Source: RNAcentral
GUGCCAGCAGCCGCGGUAAUACGUAGGUGGCAAGCGUUGUCCGGAUUUAUUGGGCGUAAAGCGAGCGCAGGCGGUUUCUUAAGUCUGAUGUGAAAGCCCCCGGCUCAACCGGGGAGGGUCAUUGGAAACUGGGAGACUUGAGUGCAGAAGAGGAGAGUGGAAUUCCAUGUGUAGCGGUGAAAUGCGUAGAUAUAUGGAGGAACACCAGUGGCGAAGGCGGCUGUCUGGUCUGUAACUGACGCUGAGGCUCGAAAGCGUGGGGAGCAAACAGGAUUAGAUACCCUGGUAGUCC